UUUGUUUUUGUUUUGAGCCCAGCUCCUGUGUCAGACACUGCACUAGGUUCGGUUCAGGGGAUUCCUGUCGCUGAGAAGUUCCUACUGAGUCACUCUCUAAAAACUAGGAAGAUGCAGGUUUUUAUGUAAACCACUACUCACUACCUGCAUGUGAUUUUGGAGUGCUCUGCUGUAAGGACAUUCUCCUGCCAGUUCUAAAAUGAGAGGAACUGCUCCAACAACAAGGAGAUGCUCAGGAUGCGGAUGCUUAGGAAGGAGCACAGUCUCCCCAGAGCAGAGCCUCUGCUGGUGUGAGCCUACACUCAACGAUGCAAAGCAACGGGAAAGAGGCAAGCUUCUGAGGAGUAGUGGGAAAACAGCAGCUAACAGGGCGCCUUGUGAAGCAAGUGACUGCAUUCAGUGAGUGUGGGGGGUUAUUGGUUGGCUUGCUUGCUUUUGCCUUUAUUCUCUGUCCAAAACCGAAUGCUGUAAGUCUUUGCUUAGCUGAGGCUAGUCACAGAAAACAGAAAACCAGUGAUUUGCUUUAACUAUGUCAUCUUAAUGGGCUAUAAACUGACAAAAGCAAAAGGACUCCUUAACAUUCAACAGGUGAUAGCUCAGUUGGAAACAAAGAAAAAACAUUUACAUGUAAAUUCAUUUAGUAGGCCUAUAAGUAUUAUCUACUUAAAUAGAUUUUAUUCCUUAAUGGACAAGCUACAUAGUACAUAUGUUUCUAAUCCUAAAUUAAUCGAUCACUACCAAAAGAAAGAUCAUUUGGUCACUUAGUUUUGGGAGGUCUUUUUCUAAGUGUUGUGUCAUCAUCACUGAUGGGAGGGAAAUUUAACCAGACACUUCUUGAGCCUGGAAAUCAUUCAGAAUCUCUGGCCCAGUAAUCUUCUCUCUAGGAAUCCAAUUUAUAGAAAGAAUUAGAUAUACAGAAAAGAUAUAUGUACCAUAUGUUCACGAGUACUAUCAUAGCAAAAAUAAUAGUUAUAAAAUUGUGUUUUGUCAAAAGAAUUGAAUAUGGAGAAAUCAUUAAACAGCAUGUUUUCAAAGCCUCCUGUUUUGGAAAUAUAUAACAUAUAUUUAUUUAUAAUUUAUAAUAUAAUUUAUUAACAAAAAUAAAUAGGAUGUAAAACUUUAUAAUAAAAAUGUCAUAUGUAAGAUACACAGUAUGACAUAUCUAUUACAUAUUUAAUAACACCUAUAUAUUACAUAUAUCAUAUAGAAAAACAUCUGGAAGGAAAUACACUAAAAAUGCCACCAGUAGUUUUCUCUAGGUAGUGGGAUUUUGCAUGGCUUUUAUUUUCUUAAUACUGCUUUUCUGUUUAUUGAGGUUCCCAAAUAAGCCUGAAGAGCCACCAAGAAGAAGGAAUACGCUGGCCUGGUCAUCACGUAGUUCCUAUGACAAUGAUACAUACAACUCCAAAAUAUUUGACAUUAUUUUUAAUAUCUUAACAUAAAUAGUGGCAAAAAAAAAAAAAAAAAGAAAAACCACAAUGAUGAAAACUUUGGCAAGUACGGAAAAGUAAAAAUAGUGGGGAAAGAAUCCCACCAGUCAGAGGGAAAUGUGAUUAAUAUCCCGUGACUAAGUCAGUAGCUUUGAGCUGUGCCAUCAAAAGACCUCAGGAGCUGUCCCCGUGGAAGGUAGGGACUGACUAGGUCCUCCUAUCCA
This 1654-nucleotide long non-coding RNA is filed under the name Canis lupus familiaris (dog). RNAcentral's name for it is "lncRNA (ENSCAFG00845015446.1)". Lineage: Eukaryota; Metazoa; Chordata; Mammalia; Carnivora; Canidae. The record is from RNAcentral.